AGUGGCGGAAGGGUGAGUAAACGUAUCGAACGUACCCCGAGGUGGGGGAUAGGCAUGGGAAACUGUGCGUAAUACCCCAUGAUCUCGAGAGAGCAAAGCUCCGGCGCCUUGGGAGCGGCGAUACACCUAUCAGGUAGUUGGCGGGGUAAUGGCCCACCAAGCCGAAGACGGGUAGCAGGUGUGAGAGCACGGCCUGCCACAUCGGGACUGAGACACUGCCCGGACUCCUACGGGAGGCUGCAGUAACGAAUAUUCCGCAAUGCGCGAAAGCGUGACGGAGCGACGCCGCGUGCAGGAUGAAGCGGCUACGCCGUGUAAACUGCUGUCAGGGACUACUAACCAUGAAGGGUCCCGGAGGAAGGGCCGGCUAAACUCGUGCCAGCAGCCGCGGUAAUACGAGUGGCCCGAGCGUUAAUCGGAAUCACUGGGCUUAAAGGGUGCGUAGGCGGGUCGUUAAGUGUCUUGUGAAAUCCCCUGGCUCAACCAGGGGACCGCAGGGCAUACUGGCGAUCUCGAGGAAGCUAGAGGCGGGUGGAACGAUAGGUGGAGCGGUGGAAUGCGUAGAUAUCUAUCGGAACGCCGAAGGUGAAGACAGCCCGCUGGGGCUUUCCUGACGCUGAGGCACGAAAGCGUGGGGAGCAAACGGGAUUAGAUACCCUGGUAGUCCACGCCCUAAACGAUGCACGUUAGA
RNAcentral lists this ribosomal RNA (691 nucleotides) under uncultured Phycisphaeraceae bacterium. RNAcentral describes it as "bacterial SSU rRNA". It matches the Rfam family "Bacterial small subunit ribosomal RNA", at positions 94 to 820 of the family's 1533-position model. The record is from RNAcentral. Lineage: Bacteria; Pseudomonadati; Planctomycetota; Phycisphaerae; Phycisphaerales; Phycisphaeraceae.